This 482-nucleotide ribosomal RNA is filed under the name uncultured bacterium. Its description in RNAcentral is "bacterial SSU rRNA". It matches the Rfam family "Bacterial small subunit ribosomal RNA", at positions 28 to 526 of the family's 1533-position model. The record is from RNAcentral.
GACGAACGCUGGCGGCGUGCUUAACACAUGCAAGUCGAGCGGUAAGGCCCUUCGGGGUACACGAGCGGCGAACGGGUGAGUAACACGUGGGUGACCUGCCCUCAGCUCUGGGAUAAGCCUGGGAAACUGGGUCUAAUACCGGAUAUGACCUUUCACUGCAUGGUGGGGGGUGGAAAGUUUUUCGGCUGGGGAUGGGCCCGCGGCCUAUCAGCUUGUUGGUGGGGUGAUGGCCUACCAAGGCGACGACGGGUAGCCGGCCUGAGAGGGCGACCGGCCACACUGGGACUGAGACACGGCCCAGACUCCUACGGGAGGCAGCAGUGGGGAAUAUUGCGCAAUGGGCGGAAGCCUGACGCAGCGACGCCGCGUGGGGGAUGACGGCCUUCGGGUUGUAAACCUCUUUCGCCAGGGACGAAGCUUUCGGGUGACGGUACCUGGAUAAGAAGCACCGGCCAACUACGUGCCAGCCGCCGCCGUAAAAC